RNAcentral lists this long non-coding RNA (207 nucleotides) under Manihot esculenta (cassava). RNAcentral describes it as "long non-coding RNA (MESC_LNC000246)". The record is from RNAcentral. Lineage: Eukaryota; Viridiplantae; Streptophyta; Magnoliopsida; Malpighiales; Euphorbiaceae.
GUAAUACCCGGCUAGAGUCCGGCAUCGGAAUUCCUAUAGUCCGGUGGAAUCUCGGAUGUCGGAACCCUCUAGAAGGGUAAUACAUAUGUUUUCUAAGGUAGUUUAACAUGUUUUAAUGUUUUAAAGUGUUAAAGGAAAAGAGUUUUGGAAUGAAAAGCAACAAGGGAGAAAUGCAAAGGUUCGGCCGCCGAAGGUCACUUUCGGCCG